Molecule: ribosomal RNA, 501 nt
Filed under: uncultured bacterium
Lineage: Bacteria
Description: partial 16S ribosomal RNA
Rfam family: Bacterial small subunit ribosomal RNA
Source: RNAcentral
AUUGAACGCUGGCGGCAUGCCUUACACAUGCAAGUCGAACGGCAGCACGGGUGCUUGCAUCUGGUGGCGAGUGGCGAACGGGUGAGUAAUACAUCGGAACGUACCUUAUCGUGGGGGAUAACGCAGCGAAAGCUGUGCUAAUACCGCAUACGCCCUGAGGGGGAAAGCGGGGGAUCGCAAGACCUCGCGCGAUUAGAGCGGCCGAUGCCUGAUUAGCUUGUUGGUGGGGUAAAAGCCCACCAAGGCGACGAUCAGUAGCUGGUCUAAGAGGACGAUCAGCCACACUGGGACUGAGACACGGCCCAGACUCCUACGGGAGGCAGCAGUGGGGAAUUUUGGACAAUGGGGGCAACCCUGAUCCAGCAAUGCCGCGUGAGUGAAGAAGGCCUUCGGGUUGUAAAGCUCUUUUGUCAGGGAAGAAACACCGGCUCUAACACAGUCCGGGAAUGACGGUACCUGAAGAAUAAGCACCGGCUAACUACGUGCCAGCCGCCGCUGUAA